CUGGUGGCAUCGAAAGGCCAUCAUGGGUCAUAAAUACAGAGCUCUAGCGUCAGAGACUAAAAAUAUUACAGUAUGUGAUUCAAUACCAGAUUCAGGCAAUUCUCUUGUGUGUAAAUACACACAAGAAGGAAGCUAUUUAUAAGUCAGGAAGAGAGCUCUCACCAGGAACACAAUUGGUCAGCACCGAUCUUGGAUUUCACAGCCUCCAGAAUGGUGAGAAAAUAAAUCUGCUGUUUAAGCCACC
This 244-nucleotide long non-coding RNA is filed under the name Mustela putorius furo (domestic ferret). RNAcentral describes it as "lncRNA (ENSMPUG00000024277.1)". The record is from RNAcentral. Lineage: Eukaryota; Metazoa; Chordata; Mammalia; Carnivora; Mustelidae.